UUGAUUGGCAUAAAUUUGGGGAGCUCCCAGGUGCAGCUGAGCUGGCUGACCUGAAGGAGCCUCCAGGAGGGGAAAGGAGUGACCUUUGUGACGUGUGCUGAGGGCACCCAUCUCCUCCACCAGGACUGUAUUUCUGUCAAUCCCUUCAGCUGCAUGUACCAGUCCACUGCCUGUGGCUGAAGUUAGAAAAGCAUCAAUCAAGCGAAAGCAAUCCCCAUCCAGCAAUUCAGCUGUGCCUCAUGAUUGAUGAGUCACUGGAGCAGAGACUCAAACCUACAUCAUCGACACCAAAGCUCAAGAGUGACAGAAAAAUCUGCUUUCAAGUGCCCAGCUCCUAGCAGUUAGAACAGUACUGUCAGUGACAGAUACAGGGAAGAAAAAGGAACCAAAACAACUGAGAAAAGCUGGCCUUUUCAAUGUUGUCCACAGAGGGGAAGUUGGAGAAUGAUGAAGACCACAGCACACUCAUCGCAGUUUUCUGUUGGAAAGAAAUGUGUUUUUCUGGCAGAAGAUAAGUGGCUUUAGUUAUUACUGGAGUCAAAAGUAAACUCUGUGUAUACCAGUUUGGAGAACAACUUCCAGCAACUGCUUACAGAUCUCAGUACUGUAGUCUCACAUCUUUGGGGUUUUUUUCCCUCAUAGAAAGCCACUAGUCUCGACAAUGUUUUUCUUGCAGAAAACAAGAAUUACUGUUACACUUUGAUGCAAGGGAUAAAAAAAAGGUGUUUUCCUCAAACCACUCCCACCAACUUUAUCAUGAGUGUUAGGAAAACAUCUGGACUGAAGCUGCAUCUGUCUUUCCAGAAAGCUGUACCUGUGAUGCUGCCCCAUUGCCUUAUUGCUACCCCUCUCCUUGCCCAUUCCCACCUGGCAUCCCAGUGGGGUCAGGCAGUCAGUUUUGAAUUUCUGACUCUCAUCUCAGCCAAACUCACUCUUAAUACUGAACUCACUCUUAAUAUUUUCAGGUUUGUUGAAUUCAGUUGUGAACUUACUAAAGCUCAUGACACUGACAUUGGCUAUCAAAAACAGGGCUGGGACUGUGAUGCUGUGAUUAAAGUUUUAGGUGAAAAUACAAACUCUCUUUAAAACAAUGAACUGCCUGCAUACAAUAUUAAAUGCCAACCAACCAGACAAGUUGUUUUGUUGGCUUCCUAUAAAACUGCAGGGCCUUGAGUAUAACAAAUAUGAGAAAAAUAAUGAUAAAGUAUGAUACAUUUGAGUUUGGCCUUGAAAAUCUGCAGUUACUGCAGCUGUGGGUGCCUUACACUAACUACAUCCUGUUUAUAAACAGCCAGCACAAAAAUGUCACUUUUCUGAUUUGAAGCCAUUUGCUGUAGCCAAAUAUGCAUUUCAUGAUAACAGAAGUGUCUUAGCCAGUUAGAACUCAUUUCUCUCCCCUCAAAUAAACAGCAAUCAGCUCGCCCAUUGGUGGUGGUGGCUCAGUUUGUGUGUGCUGCUCCUGCUCUGAAUAUGCAGAUCUCCCCACUCUCAUUAGUUCCUGAAGUGCCUCUGUUCACUCUUCCUGCUGUAGCUGGUGUUUCUGAGCUGUUUGGAUGACAAUACCACAGCUAAAGACUAGGAUAACUUUAAAAUGUAUUUAAAAGUAUAAAAACAUACUGUCACAAAUCAAACUGACUGUUGAAUAAUACUGAGAAAUACUAAGAAAGAGUGGUAGGAAAACAGCUCUUGCAGAUGGAAGAACCUUAUCUGUAAGGACUGGAUCAGGCAGGAUCUUUGUCCCAUGCCAGGAAACCUGGUGGGUAGUGUGUUUUCAGGGCUAGGUCUGAGUAUGGCACAUCUCAGAAAUUAAGUUUAUUCAAUGUAUAUGCUCUUGCUCUCAAUAUAAUAGUCUGCCAUCUCAGCACUGGCUGGUGCUAUGUUUUCAAUGUUGUUCUAGUUUAUUUUAUAA
Passer domesticus (house sparrow) is the source of this 1909-nucleotide long non-coding RNA. RefSeq lists it as uncharacterized. The transcript has 4 exons. Lineage: Eukaryota; Metazoa; Chordata; Aves; Passeriformes; Passeridae. The record is from RefSeq and is a predicted model, not a curated record.